This 510-nucleotide ribosomal RNA is filed under the name uncultured bacterium. RNAcentral describes it as "partial 16S ribosomal RNA". It matches the Rfam family "Bacterial small subunit ribosomal RNA", at positions 28 to 507 of the family's 1533-position model. The record is from RNAcentral.
GACGAACGCUGGCGGCGUGCUUAACACAUGCAAGUCGAACGAAGAGCGAUGGAAGCUUGCUUCUAUCAAUCUUAGUGGCGAACGGGUGAGUAACGCGUAAUCAACCUGCCCUUCAGAGGGGGACAACAGUUGGAAACGACUGCUAAUACCGCAUACGAUCUAAUCUCGGCAUCGAGGGUAGAUGAAAGGUGGCCUCUACAUGUAAGCUAUCACUGAAGGAGGGGAUUGCGUCUGAUUAGCUAGUUGGAGGGGUAACGGCCCACCAAGGCGAUGAUCAGUAGCCGGUCUGAGAGGAUGAACGGCCACAUUGGGACUGAGACACGGCCCAGACUCCUACGGGAGGCAGCAGUGGGGAAUCUUCCGCAAUAGACGAAAGUCUGACGGAGCAACGCCGCGUGAGUGAUGACGGCCUUCGGGUUGUAAAGCUCUGUUAAUCGGGACGAAAGGCCUUCUUGCGAAUAGUGAGAAGGAUUGACGGUACCGGAAUAGAAAGCCACGGCUAACUACGUG